GCCGUGAGCAGUGGCAGAUUUCUUCACAAUGUAUGCUAGUUAAGAAAAAAGAAAAGAACAGGAGCAUACAAUACAAAUGAGUGAAUGAACCUUGAGGCAUUAAAUUGUUUCUUUUGACAUUCUGAUGAAACAGAUUCUUCAAAUUCCUGUGAUACCUGGAGGAGAGAAACAGAGACAACAGACAGAAACAGAGACAGAGGCCUUAAUAAAUCACCAUAUACUUCCAUACAUUUUGAAAUGAUGCUUUUAUGUUAUUCAUUACAUAACUAAUUCUGAGUAUCCUAAAAAAUUAAAACAAUGUUGUUAUUCUAUGCGAGGAAGAAAAUCUGUUUAGCUGACCAACAAGUACAUAUAAGAGUAAGAGGAAUCUACUGUUUUCAGCACUGAAAAUCAGUAGAAUCUUGAGACUCUUACAAUAUACUUUUGUUGUUUUAAAAAUUAUUUUAUUUUAGGCGAUGCCACUAUACUAUAUAAACUGAAAACAUACUGAACAUAUGUCAAUAUAUUUUAUGUUCUUUCUUGGAUUAAAAUAUGAAAAUAUU
Molecule: non-coding RNA, 542 nt
Organism: Pantherophis guttatus
Lineage: Eukaryota; Metazoa; Chordata; Lepidosauria; Squamata; Colubridae
Source: RefSeq, a predicted model, not a curated record